CCUACGGGGCGCAGCAGUGAGGAAUAUUGGUCAAUGGGCGGGAGCCUGAACCAGCCAAGCCGCGUGAGGGAAGAAGGUACAGCGUAUCGUAAACCUCUUUUGUCAGGGAACAAAGGCGGGGACUAGUCCCCGGAUGAGGGUACCUGAAGAAAAAGCAUCGGCUAACUCCGUGCCAGCAGCCGCGGUAAUACGGGGGAUGCGAGGGUUAUCCGGAUUUAUUGGGGUUAAAGGGUGCGAAGGGGGCCGGUUAAGUCAGCGGGAAAAGCCCGGGGCUCAACCCCGGCGAGCCGUUGAAACUGGCUGGCUGGAGUUGGAGAGAGGUAGGCGGAAUGCGCGGUGUAGCGGUGAAAUGCUUAGAUAUCGCGCAGAACCCCGAUUGCGAAGGCAGCGUACCGGCUCCACACUGACGCUGAGGCACGAAAGCGUGGGUAUCGAACAGGAUUAGAUACCCCAGUAGUC
RNAcentral lists this ribosomal RNA (459 nucleotides) under uncultured bacterium. Its description in RNAcentral is "partial 16S ribosomal RNA". It matches the Rfam family "Bacterial small subunit ribosomal RNA", at positions 338 to 795 of the family's 1533-position model. The record is from RNAcentral.